CAGUGCAGCAUCCAGAGGAUUUACCCCACAGAAGUGAUGGGGACAUGAACAAUUCCAGCAAUGAGCAUUGUUUAAACAAAAGGUCCAGAAACAGAAAAAAUUAGUCUUAUCCUCCAGAUUCUCCCUUCCAAGUGUGACCUCAGAAACAUCAGAAAGAGGGGUUUUUUCUUCUACUGCUCCAGAUGAGUCUUUGUAUUCCUACUGUAUCCCCUCCUGUGACAGGAAACCACAGCAUAAUUAUCCCUUUUAUCAAACCACAAGUUUUAUCUUAAAACCAGAUAAGGUUUCUGUCUUCCACAACUGCAACAGGAAGCCUGUUGCUAAACCUCAUUACAUCAACUAUUACAAACAUCUUUCUUCUUUCAUCAUAAGUUUGUCUAUAA
Long non-coding RNA from Pseudopipra pipra, 383 nucleotides. RefSeq lists it as uncharacterized. The record is from RefSeq and is a predicted model, not a curated record. Lineage: Eukaryota; Metazoa; Chordata; Aves; Passeriformes; Pipridae. The transcript is spliced from 3 exons.